GAUGUGACAAUGUCAUUGGGCCGUCAAGCGGCGGCGGUGUUGUUCUGACAACCAAAGUUGUUGUUUUAAUAACCCAUAAAUUACUUUUCAAUUACAUUACAUUCUCUCUUUUCCAAACCCUGUACAAUGUGGUGUCGACAACGGUUGUGUCGGCGAAGGGAAACAUCGGCGGUGGAUGGUGUAUUGGAAGACUAUUGGUGGUGUCGACAACGGUUGUGUCGGCGAAGGGAAACAUCGGCGGUGGAUGGUGUAUUGGAAGACUAUUGGAGAUUAGGGCUCACCAUCGAAGUGCUAAUUGCACAUAUGCCUGAGACAAAGAGAGAAUGAGAAGGAGAUGCCCGCCUACAACUACUCCCGGCGGGGUGGGUUUUGUUGUGGAAGUCGCGACUGCCGGCGGUAGCGGAGUAGUUAUCUAGGGUUUCACCAAGGAGUUUAAGCGAUGCUUUGCGGGUCUGAUUACUGAUGUUAGGGUUCCACAACACGUAGGAAUGCAAAACAGGAUGUCGGCGAGGAGGUUAGCUGUUGCCGGGUGUUUGUGUUACUGGUAGCAGGUCUUUCAGGUAAGGAAUUCAACUCCUAUUUUAUGUUUUUCUUAGGUUUGCUAUAGAUAUCGUUUAUUUGGGUUACAUCUUUCAUGUUUUGAUUAAGGGGUUUUCAUGUUUUAAUGUCUGAUUGGCUUACUAAAUUGGGAGUCCAACUCAACUAUAGUGUGUAAUUACUGGACUGUAGUCACGUGCAGUGAAGAUGGGUCACGUGUCAUUGGUUUCCAGCUUCCCGGAGUUGGGUUUCACGGCUAGCUUCCAGCAAACAUCAUUAGCAAACUCUUAGUCUUAGCUUUGCAGAACUUGAGCUUCAUAUCUAAUGGUAUUUCUGGCACUUUUAACUAUAUUUGUUAUUAUGGUUGCUUAGAAGAUAGAUUCUUUAAUGUAGGGGAUAGUUGUGCGGUGGUAUAUUUAAUUUGAUAGAACACUGACCCUCUUGGUUUGUAGUUUGCAACCAAGAAUAAAAGAUUGUUAUUUUCUAGACUUAUGAUCCAGUUUCAUUAAUACUAAAAAACUUAAGUCAUAUCUUACUAUCAUGACUAAAAAUAUGAUAAAAAGUCUAUAUUUAUUCAAUGCAAAAGUCAAAUUUGUACCAAAAAAAGGAACAGACCUGUAAAGUAGCUCACAGCCAUUAUUGUAUUGAAGUAAAUCUUUUAAAGUUGCAAGAAUUGAAGAGAUGAUAGCAUCAAUUGUUUUUUUUUUUUUUUGGUCAUUUGCACUGCCUAUAAUUGAUUUUAGAUGCUUCUCAUGAACUUUCAUUUUUUACUUAAGAGUUCCUUUACAUGUGCUUUAUCUAAUGAACUAUAAAUUAUUUGUUUCUCAAAUGGUUUUUAUGGGUCAUUCUUACUGGUAUGACGAACAAUUGGGCUUUUAAAAUCUUAUGAUCUAAGCUGGAAAAAAAUUAUCCACAUUCUUUGGGAUGCCUACACCAUUAAUUUCUUCAAUUUCUUUUAGACCAAACUAUAGUAGCUUCUUUACAGCUAUAUUGAGAGUCUGGAGGGAGAGGGGGGAUGAGAAGAGAUGGGAGACAGAGACGGAGAAAUCCCCGGCUUCGAUACGGUGGACGCGCUGCACAUGGCUCCCCAGCGUCGACAUGACAGACGGGUCCGCCGUACAUGGUGGUGGGGUUAUGUCGGGUAACCGCAACGGCAGUCAAUAGUGACGACGGUUACAGUAUGACCGUUUUGAGCAACGAUGGUGAUCACAGUAGUGGCAAGGGGGGGUGACGAAGAUGGCUUCAAGAAGCUCCAGUGAAGGAUUCAAGCUUGCAUGUUCCGUUUUCGAGUAGAUCUGAGAACGAUUCGCUUGCAUAUGUGCUUUUCUGAUUAUUAAGGUAAAACACAUCUAUUUUCAGAUUAUACGACCCGAUCUGACUGUACUUUAAAAAAAGUCUCGGGGGCUCACCGACCAAAAAGAUUAUUGAUAAGUAUGUGAAGUCGAGUUGCUCAAAAUAAUCUACUUACAGAAAAGUCCGAAAUAAAAAAUAGGCUGGUGAGGAAGUCGGGGAUGAAAUAUGAAAGCAGGUAGUUGAAAUCCCCAAAGUGAGAUGAAAUCUCAGGCUGGGUGAAGGCGGUGACGGUGGCGGUGGCAGUAGUGGUGAGCGUGGUGGUGGUUGUCGGUUGCGGCAGCUGCUGCUGAUUAAAGUUGCUUAAAACCACCACCGCCUACGGUUGCGGGGCCGGGAACUAUGUUAACAGUAGUGCUCAACUGAGAUGCCUGCGUUUAGUUUGGACCCUUUAGAUUAUCUAUCUUGAGUAUCCAAGUUAAAAAAAAGAAGCGAGAAGAUGCAAUCUAUGGAGCUUUUCGGGUAGUCGCGGGCGACACCUUGCCUUCGAAGAACUAAAAGGUAUGGAAACACUAGCCUACUAUAUGCAGACUAUGUUCUAAUUAGUUAUUUCAAUAUGUAUUCGUAAAGUGAAUUUAUUUGGAAAAAAUAGUUUUACUUGUAGUUAUUUCAAUAUGUAUUCGUAAAGUGAAUUUAUUUGGAAAAAAUAGUUUUACUUGUAGUCGAUAUAAAUCAGGAUUUUUU
Molecule: long non-coding RNA, 2571 nt
Organism: Helianthus annuus (common sunflower)
Lineage: Eukaryota; Viridiplantae; Streptophyta; Magnoliopsida; Asterales; Asteraceae
Exons: 2
Source: RefSeq, a predicted model, not a curated record